CUGCGGCAGCGACACUGUGUGUUGUUGGGUAGGGGAGCGUUCUGUAAGCCUGCGAAGGUGGCCUGUGAGGGUUGCUGGAGGUAUCAGAAGUGCGAAUGCUGACAUAAGUAACGAUAAAGCGGGUGAAAAGCCCGCUCGCCGGAAGACCAAGGGUUCCUGUCCAACGUUAAUCGGGGCAGGGUGAGUCGACCCCUAAGGCGAGGCCGAAAGGCGUAGUCGAUGGGAAACGGGUUAAUAUUCCCGUACUUGGUGUUACUGCGAAGGGGGGACGGAGAAGGCUAUGUUGGCCGGGCGACGGUUGUCCCGGUUUAAGCGUGUAGGUGUGUGUUCCAGGUAAAUCCGGUUCACUUUAACACUGAGGCGUGACGACGAGGCACUACGGUGCUGAAGCAACAAAUGCCCUGCUUCCAGGAAAAGCCUCUAAGCAUCAGGUAACAUCAAAUCGUACCCCAAACCGACACAGGUGGUCAGGUAGAGAAUACCAAGGCGCUUGAGAGAACUCGGGUGAAGGAACUAGGCAAAAUGGUGCCGUAACUUCGGGAGAAGGCACGCUGACACGUAGGUGAAGUGAUUUACUCAUGGAGCUGAAGUCAGUCGAAGAUACCAGCUGGCUGCAACUGUUUAUUAAAAACACAGCACUGUGCAAACACGAAAGUGGACGUAUACGGUGUGACGCCUGCCCGGUGCCGGAAGGUUAAUUGAUGGGGUCAGCGCAAGCGAAGCUCCUGAUCGAAGCCCCGGUAAACGGCGGCCGUAACUAUAACGGUCCUAAGGUAGCGAAAUUCCUUGUCGGGUAAGUUCCGACCUGCACGAAUGGCGUAAUGAUGGCCAGGCUGUCUCCACCCGAGACUCAGUGAAAUUGAACUCGCUGUGAAGAUGCAGUGUACCCGCGGCAAGACGGAAAGACCCCGUGAACCUUUACUAUAGCUUGACACUGAACAUUGAGCCUUGAUGUGUAGGAUAGGUGGGAGGCUUUGAAGUGUGGACGCCAGUCUGCAUGGAGCCGACCUUGAAAUACCACCCUUUAAUGUUUGAUGUUCUAACGUGGACCCGUUACCCGGGUUGCGGACAGUGUCUGGUGGGUAGUUUGACUGGGGCGGUCUCCUCC
This 1108-nucleotide ribosomal RNA is filed under the name Salmonella enterica subsp. enterica serovar Enteritidis. RNAcentral's name for it is "partial 23S ribosomal RNA". It matches the Rfam family "Bacterial large subunit ribosomal RNA", at positions 1200 to 2290 of the family's 2925-position model. Lineage: Bacteria; Pseudomonadati; Pseudomonadota; Gammaproteobacteria; Enterobacterales; Enterobacteriaceae. The record is from RNAcentral.